Long non-coding RNA from Diorhabda sublineata, 1199 nucleotides. RefSeq lists it as uncharacterized. The record is from RefSeq and is a predicted model, not a curated record. Lineage: Eukaryota; Metazoa; Arthropoda; Insecta; Coleoptera; Chrysomelidae. The transcript has 2 exons.
CUCUACUUUUUAUUAAAGUUUGACAUUGUCAACUAGAAUUUGUAGUCACUAUUGAUAGUGUAAUUUGAUACAUUAUUUAUUUUGUUUCUCUGAAAUGGUUUACUCUUUGCAAGAAAAAAUUGAAAUUGUAGGUUUAUACUACCAAAAUAAUAAUUGUGCAAGAGCUGCUGCUAGAAUAUUUAAAGAAUUACAUGACGGAAGACAUGCAACUCAUAAGUAUGUAAUUCAACUGAUGGAGAAAUUUACCACAACAGGGUCUGUUUGCAAUAAAGUGCAUAAGCGAGAGGGACUCGUAAAUAACGAAGUAAUCCAAGUGGCAUUUUAGGUUCGUGAGUACACUUUACAAUGUUGAAGAAGUUUUUAUCAUGAUGGCAAUCAGUAGAGAAGAUGAGUAUUUGAUUAACUUCUUGUGUAUGAUGAUGAAGAUAAUAAUUUUCUAUGAAAACACAGUAGAUAUUGAUGAUUUGCAUCCAUAUCUAAUAUGAGUAAAUAAGAUCUUGAUAACUAUCACAUAUUACUUAUGUGUUACAUAUUUAUACAGCCACUUUUUUAUUAUUUCAGGCGUAUUUUUCACCAAACAUACUUUCGAUGUGAUGUAAGUUUCUUUUAUAUUUCUCAAUUGAAGUUAAAAACACACAUUUACGUUAUUAAAAUCCUAAAUCAACAAUAAUUCAAUAUGAUUGCACAAGUCAUUUAGACAAUCAUAUCACAAAUAUGAUAAACUUGUCACAUGAAGACAAUAACAAAUUACUUAUAUGAAAAAACGAUUAAAACUUUUUUCACAUCACAAGAGCACAUUUUGAAUUGAAGUAUCAAAAUUUUUAAUGUUUAAUGGAAUAAUCUUUUAAAAUUGGUAAAUAUGUAUAAGCAGUUCAAUUACUGACUAUGAUAUUACAGUGGUUAAAUAUAUAAUAUUUUUAAUCAUUCUAUAAAAAACAUGAAAAGUAUUUUUCUGCCUUAUCUUUAAUUGUUAUAACUAAGAGAAACACUUAUUUAAAAAUUUUUAAAAAUAAUUUAAUUACAUGAUAAUUGUAAAUCAAGACCUAAAGGAAUAAAUAGACUUUUGGAAAUUAAUUUAUUCAGAACAAGAUCUAUUUAAAAUUCUCCAUGUUAAAUAUAACUAGCUAAUUCAACAUGUCAUGUAUGUAAUUUAUUUGGUAAAUAGUUCCUAAAUCUAAUAAAAUUUAUUGAGAUCACAA